CUGACGAGCACGCCGCGUGAGUGAAGAAGGUUUUCGGAUCGUAAAACUCUGUUUGCCUAGAGAAGAACAAGGAUGAGAGUAACUGUUCAUCCCUUGACGGUAUCUAACCAGAAAGCCACGGCUAACUACGUGCCAGCAGCCGCGGUAAU
This 149-nucleotide ribosomal RNA is filed under the name uncultured bacterium. Its description in RNAcentral is "partial 16S ribosomal RNA". It matches the Rfam family "Bacterial small subunit ribosomal RNA", at positions 383 to 524 of the family's 1533-position model. The record is from RNAcentral.